AGAGUGAACGCUGGCGGCAGGCCUAACACAUGCAAGUCGAACGGCAGCACAGUAAGAGCUUGCUCUUAUGGGUGGCGAGUGGCGGACGGGUGAGGAAUACAUCGGAAUCUGCCUAUUUGUGGGGGAUAACGUAGGGAAACUUACGCUAAUACCGCAUACGACCUACGGGUGAAAGCGGAGGACCUUCGGGCUUCGCGCAGAUAGAUGAGCCGAUGUCGGAUUAGCUAGUUGGUGGGGUAAAGCCCACCAAGGCGACGAUCCGUAGCUGGUCUGAGAGGAUGAUCAGCCACACUGGAACUGAGACACGGUCCAGACUCCUACGGGAGGCAGCAGGUGGGGAAUAUUGGACAAGUGGGACGCAAGCCUGAUCCAGCCAUGCCGCGUGAGUGAAGAAGGCCCGUUGGUGUAAGUCUUCGUUUGGUAGGGAAGAAAGCAAUCGGUUAAUACCGUUGUUC
Molecule: ribosomal RNA, 455 nt
Filed under: uncultured soil bacterium
Lineage: Bacteria
Description: bacterial SSU rRNA
Rfam family: Bacterial small subunit ribosomal RNA
Source: RNAcentral